UUUAAAUUAAAUUAACAGCAAAUUCAUUAUAUUUUGUAAAACGAUGAUUUAUAGUGUAUUUAAUAUUAGAAUCUUUAACUUCUGAUUUUCCAACCACUUUUAGCAAAUUCAUCCGUGUUAAACUCAUAUUUUUCAUUAUUGUGUGUAAUCAGUAAAGAUAAAAUAAAAUGAAUAUAAUAACUAAAUAUAUAUUCACUUUAAUAAUGGCCUGUUGUUCAUUUUAGAGCAAGAGUCUCCUUGUGCUGAACGGUUUAACAGCACCUCCACAUCACCUGCAUCAGAGUGUGUUUUCUGCUGGAAUCUGCUGUUCAGUGUGUGUUCGGUGUGUGUUCUCCUCUUCUCCAUCUGCGUCUACUGCCUCUGUCAGAAGAAAACUACAGGUUCUGGAGCUGAGAACAGACAUGUUGAGGCUGGUGAUGAAGUGUGUUAUGCUUCAUUAGACAUGCCUUCCACACAGCAACAAAGGCAGAGGAAUGAAAAAGGCUCAGAGUUCAGACUUCAGUAUUUAUUCUGAUGUCAGAACCAGCAGAAUGUAAAGUAGAGUAAACUAAAGUCAUUGUUCUUUAGUAGAAAUAUGAUUCAAAAGAGUGUUAAUGACAAUGUUCUGGCAUCUGCAUCCUAUUUUCAUUGAUUCUAAUAUUGUAAGUUUUUAAUGAU
This is a non-coding RNA of Danio rerio (zebrafish), 657 nucleotides long. The record is from RefSeq and is a predicted model, not a curated record. NCBI's taxonomy places the organism in Eukaryota, Metazoa, Chordata, Actinopteri, Cypriniformes, Danionidae.